Molecule: ribosomal RNA, 435 nt
Filed under: Arctocorisa carinata
Lineage: Eukaryota; Metazoa; Arthropoda; Insecta; Hemiptera; Corixidae
Description: partial large subunit ribosomal RNA
Rfam family: Archaeal large subunit ribosomal RNA
Source: RNAcentral
GUCCUUUUGAAUUUUAUUUAAGGUCUGACCUGCCCACUGAUUUAUUUAAUGGCCGCGGUAUUUUGACCGUGCAAAGGUAGCAUAAUAAUUUGUCUUUUAAUUGAAGGCUUGUAUGAAUGGUUGGACGAGAAAACUACUUUCUUUAUAAUAAAAUUAUAAAUUUUAUUUUUUAGUUAAAAAGCUAAAAUGUUGUUGUAGGACGAGAAGACCCUAUAGAACUUUAUAUUUAUUUUUAUAUUAAUAUUUUUGGUUAAUAAUAUAUUGUAUUAUAAUCAAUAUUUUGUUGGGGCGACAAGAAAAUUUAUUUAACUUUUUUUUAACUAUUUCAUUAAUUAAUGUAUAAAUGAUCCUUUAUUAUGGAUAAUAAGAAUAAGUUACCUUAGGGAUAACAGCGUAAUUUUUUUGGAGAGUUCUUAUCGAUAAAAAAGUUUGCGA